AGAGGAAAAGAAAUCUCUGGCUGGU
This 25-nucleotide non-coding RNA is filed under the name Cricetulus griseus (Chinese hamster). The record is from RNAcentral. Lineage: Eukaryota; Metazoa; Chordata; Mammalia; Rodentia; Cricetidae.